CUCAGAUUGAACGCUGGCGGCAGGCCUAACACAUGCAAGUCGAGCGGAUGAAAGGAGCUUGCUCCUGGAUUCAGCGGCGGACGGGUGAGUAAUGCCUAGGAAUCUGCCUGGUAGUGGGGGACAACGUUUCGAAAGGAACGCUAAUACCGCAUACGUCCUACGGGAGAAAGCAGGGGACCUUCGGGCCUUGCGCUAUCAGAUGAGCCUAGGUCGGAUUAGCUAGUUGGUGAGGUAAUGGCUCACCAAGGCGACGAUCCGUAACUGGUCUGAGAGGAUGAUCAGUCACACUGGAACUGAGACACGGUCCAGACUCCUACGGGAGGCAGCAGUGGGGAAUAUUGGACAAUGGGCGAAAGCCUGAUCCAGCCAUGCCGCGUGUGUGAAGAAGGUCUUCGGAUUGUAAAGCACUUUAAGUUGGGAGGAAGGGUUGUAGAUUAAUACUCUGCAAUUUUGACGUUACCGACAGAAUAAGCACCGGCUAACUCUGUGCCAGCAGCCGCGGUAAUACAGAGGGUGCAAGCGUUAAUCGGAAUUACUGGGCGUAAAGCGCGCGUAGGUGGUUUGUUAAGUUGGAUGUGAAAUCCCCGGGCUCAACCUGGGAACUGCAUCCAAAACUGGCAAGCUAGAGUAUGGUAGAGGGUGGUGGAAUUUCCUGUGUAGCGGUGAAAUGCGUAGAUAUAGGAAGGAACACCAGUGGCGAAGGCGACCACC
Molecule: ribosomal RNA, 711 nt
Filed under: Pseudomonas koreensis
Lineage: Bacteria; Pseudomonadati; Pseudomonadota; Gammaproteobacteria; Pseudomonadales; Pseudomonadaceae
Description: bacterial SSU rRNA
Rfam family: Bacterial small subunit ribosomal RNA
Source: RNAcentral